This 675-nucleotide ribosomal RNA is filed under the name Plantibacter sp. sm2-5. RNAcentral describes it as "bacterial SSU rRNA". It matches the Rfam family "Bacterial small subunit ribosomal RNA", at positions 73 to 762 of the family's 1533-position model. Lineage: Bacteria; Bacillati; Actinomycetota; Actinomycetes; Micrococcales; Microbacteriaceae. The record is from RNAcentral. RNAcentral also lists the same sequence under 1 other name.
GCCCAGCUUGCUGGGUGGAUUAGUGGCGAACGGGUGAGUAACACGAGAGUAACCUGCCCUUGACUCUGGGAUAAGCGCUGGAAACGGCGUCUAAUACCGGAUACGAGCUUCCACCGCAUGGUGAGUUGCUGGAAAGAAUUUCGGUCAAGGAUGGACUCGCGGCCUAUCAGGUAGUUGGUGAGGUAAAGGCUCACCAAGCCGACGACGGGUAGCCGGCCUGAGAGGGUGACCGGCCACACUGGGACUGAGACACGGCCCAGACUCCUACGGGAGGCAGCAGUGGGGAAUAUUGCACAAUGGGCGCAAGCCUGAUGCAGCAACGCCGCGUGAGGGACGAAGGCCUUCGGGUCGUAAACCUCUUUUAGCAGGGAAGAAGCGAAAGUGACGGUACCUGCAGAAAAAGCACCGGCUAACUACGUGCCAGCAGCCGCGGUAAUACGUAGGGUGCGAGCGUUAUCCGGAAUUAUUGGGCGUAAAGAGCUCGUAGGCGGUUUGUCACGUCUGCUGUGAAAACUGGAGGCUCAACCUUCAGCCUGCAGUGGGUACGGGCAGACUAGAGUGCGGUAGGGGAGAUUGGAAUUCCUGGUGUAGCGGUGGAAUGCGCAGAUAUCAGGAGGAACACCGAUGGCGAAGGCAGAUCUCUGGGCCGUUACUGACGCUGAGGAGCGAAAGCGU